This 708-nucleotide ribosomal RNA is filed under the name Aprasia inaurita. RNAcentral's name for it is "partial 16S ribosomal RNA". The stretch from base 279 to 449 matches the Rfam family "Archaeal large subunit ribosomal RNA", at positions 1878 to 2091 of the family's 2987-position model. Lineage: Eukaryota; Metazoa; Chordata; Lepidosauria; Squamata; Pygopodidae. The record is from RNAcentral.
GCGUCAAAGCGUACCUUUCCAACCAAUCCAAAACAUGUGUUUUUCCCCCUGACUCCUCACCGAGCAACUCUAUUCAAUAAUAGAAGAACUAAUGCUAAAACUAGUAAUAAGAACCAAUUCUCCUUACACACCCUUCAAUCAGAAAUAGAUAAACUACUGAAAAUUAACAAACUAAAAAAAAGAACAAAAUACUAACCUCAAGCAAAAAUUUCACACAAUUUGUGACACCAACACAGGAGUGUUUUAAGGAAAGAUUAAAAGCCCAACAAGGAAUUCAGCUAAUAGACUCCAACUGUUUACCAAAAACAUAGCCUUUAGCACCACAAGUAUUAAAGGUCUCGCCUGCCCAGUGAUUCUUUUUAACGGCCGCGGUAUCCUAACCGUGCAAAGGUAGCGUAAUCAUUUGUCUCCUAAAUAGAGACUCGUAUGAACGGCUAACUGAGAGCCUAACUGUCUCCUAAGGCCAAUCAAUGAAACUGAUCUUCCAGUACAAAAGCUGAAAUACACCCAUAAGACGAGAAGACCCUGUGGAGCUUAAAACACACACUAUUUUUUGCCUUUCCCCCCACGGAAUUAACACUCAAAACAUAGUGACAAGCCUUUUUAGUUGGGGCGACUUUGGAACAAAAGAAAACUUCCAUGAAAGGGUACUCCCUACCAAGGCCAACUAGCCAAAAUAACUUUUAUUGACCCAGACAUCUGAUCAAC